CUGGAUCUGGUUUAUUCCCUUUGUCAGUUAAAGAAGGCGGGAGAAAUCUCAAGAGUGACAGGUAGCAGUGAAGAAAUCUCAAACACAGAAAACAGGAGCAGACAGAAUUUACAGUUGAAGAAAGGGGAUGAGGAAACAUGCGUGCAGUGGACGCACAGAGGGGAUAAAACCCUCUGCUAAACAGAGAGGACUCGGGAACCUCCCCUAAUUUAGGGUUGGUUGGUUUGAAAAACAGCUAGGACAGUUGUUGAUGUAACUUGUCAGACCUUGAAUUUGUCGAGCCAGUCCAUCAGCAGAGGGUGCUGCUGAGAGACAGCAGUUAGCAAGCCUUUGUUUUAAACUGUCUGGCUUUUGUGGAAGGUCAGGAAGGUAAGGAAGGAGCCAUCUUGGAAGUUCACCACCUUUAGUACCUAGCCAAGGCCUUCCUGUCUGUCUUAUACUUAUCCUGGAAUGUCUUUUUGCUGUGUAAAUCAAGAAUACUGGCUUCUCUGAGUAGAAAUGUCAGAAAAAGACACCUUAGGCUGCUACAGAGGACAAGGCUCAUGGUCUUGGUGGUUGAAGAGGAGAGUCCCAGAAACAAAGAACAGGAAGGAGUCCCUCCCCCUGGAACAGGCAACAGAUCUGGGCACAACAGUUGCAAGCACCAAGCAAGAUGGUGGUAAAGCCAGGACUUUCCAUAACAAAGAUGGCUGCCUGUCACAUGACUACACUUAACCAAGAUGGCAACUACAGUUCUACCUUUUCCAGCCCUUAGCAAAGAUGGCGAUGAGCCAUGUGUUGGUUAUAUCCCAGGAUGUAAUGUCAUGUGAUUAAAAAUUACCUGAGCAUAGACUUUUAAUUACUAUUUUCAGCCAUGAACUUUAAAAACAUGCCUGAGUCUGAAAAGGAUGAGCAAUAAAACAUUUUAGACCCAGCCAUAAGGA
Non-coding RNA from Rattus norvegicus (Norway rat), 923 nucleotides. NCBI's taxonomy places the organism in Eukaryota, Metazoa, Chordata, Mammalia, Rodentia, Muridae. The record is from RefSeq and is a predicted model, not a curated record.